RNAcentral lists this small RNA (1844 nucleotides) under Pan troglodytes (chimpanzee). RNAcentral describes it as "processed transcript". Lineage: Eukaryota; Metazoa; Chordata; Mammalia; Primates; Hominidae. The record is from RNAcentral.
UUUUGUAUUUGAAUGCGCAUGUGUGUGUCCUUUUAAAACUCUUUCCAUUUGUACAAUGACAGAUUUCAGAUUGGAGUUAAUCUGAGCAUGGAAGACUAUGCCCUGAUGUUUGGAAUUAAUCCCUUCAUUGCCUUGAUGAUUCAACCCAUCGUGACGAUGACUGUGGUUGACAACCAAGGACUGGGGCUUCCUGUUGACAUUCAGCACAAAGCAAAGCCCUCACCAAAAGCCAGCCAGAUGCUGCCACCUGAUCUUGGACCUCCCAGCUUCCAGAACUUAUUAAGUCCAUCUGAGAAACUAGAGCCUUGGGACCCAGGGAUGAGGAAACUUACCGUACAGACAUGCAGGCUGACCUUCAUUCACCCUGUGGGCCAUGGCCUCUGCCAUCCAACUGCACAGGCUUCAGCCGAAACUCUCUCCAGCACUGCCCUAAACAGACCAAGUGUGAGGGAGGGAGCAUGUAAUGAAAAGUCCACAGAGAACAAGAAGCCACAAGAUUCGGUGCUCUGAAGCCAUUCUAGAUGGUUUCAGGGGAACUAGCUUCCCACCUCUGACAGGGAUACCAUGGCAAAUACCACUCUUUACCUAGGAUUAUAAUUCUUUGUGCACAACGCAUCCCAUCCCAAAGACAGUCCACAGCAGGACUUGCUCCAUCUCUGAACUGGUCUUACCCCCUUAAACCUGCCUUUAUAUCUAGGAGUUUCUUUAUUUUAUUUUAUUUUUUUGAGACAGAGUCUCGCUCCAUUGCCCAGGCUGGACUGCAGCGGCGUGAUCUCAGCUCACUGCAACCUCCACCUCCUGGGUUCAAGUGAUUCUUGUGCCUCAGCCUCCCAAGUAGCUGGGAUUAAAGGCAUGUGCCACCAUGACUGGCCAAUUUUUAUAUUUUUAGUAGAGAUGAGGUUUCACCAUGUUGGCCAGGCUGGUCUCAAACUCUUGACUUCAAGUGAUCCGCCCGCCUCAGCCUCCCAAAGUGCUGGGAUUACAGGUGUGAGCCACCAGGCCCAGCCUAUAUCUAGGAGUCUCUUGAUGAGCAUUGGUCGACAGAAAGAAGUCUCUUCUAAAAAUUGUUAAUGCUUUUAUAGACUACUCAUAGUCUGAGUCAUAAAACAUCAUUUGCCUUUCAAUUUAUACCUUCCAAGUGAAUGAUGAUUAUUGAGGAUUAUCUAAUUAUUAUCUACUUUUCUCUCUAGGUAUAAAAAACACCAUAGAUCCUAUACACACAAAAAUGGUUUUUCUAUCAGAAAUGGACUCACUCGCCUGGCAAAAGGACACAGAUUAGAUUAUUCUAAUCUCAAGGCCCCUUAGGCUUAUGAAUUCAAAAAAAAAUAGAAGAAAUGAACAAAAACAUAAAUCACAGUUUGUUAUUAAGUAAUAUCUGAAAUGAAUUAGAAAGAAACCAUAAGCCUUAACAAUACUCCAAUCACAGUUAAAUUAAUUUAGACAGAAAAGCAAAUAGCAAUUGACUUGAAAAAUAAGAAGUGGGGCCGAAGGUGGAUACAAGAAAUCCAGGAGGGCUAAGAUAAAUCCCAAAUCCAAUGUUCAUCAAUGCCUACACAUUCAGUACAACCUGAUGGCAUUAAUUCUGUGGUUAGGGAAAUGUGAAAGUGAAAUCGGUAAUACCACAGUUCUAAAUGUGCACUGUUGGCUGAAUUUAUGGUGUGGUGGGGGGUGGCAAAAAUUAGGCUUCUAAGAAAGGAUGGAACUCUGCCCUCCAGGCAAGGAGUAAAUGGCCCCAGCAGAUGGAAAACUAAAGCAAAUGUAAUCACCUGCAAUUUGCAAAUAGGUGUGUUUCUGAGAAUUUGUUUGAAUUAGUUCUUUGUAAAUAAAACAGGAUUUUGAAUGCA